RNAcentral lists this ribosomal RNA (1450 nucleotides) under Lactiplantibacillus plantarum. Its description in RNAcentral is "bacterial SSU rRNA". It matches the Rfam family "Bacterial small subunit ribosomal RNA". Lineage: Bacteria; Bacillati; Bacillota; Bacilli; Lactobacillales; Lactobacillaceae. The record is from RNAcentral.
GGCGUGCCUAAUACAUGCAAGUCGAACGAACUCUGGUAUUGAUUGGUGCUUGCAUCAUGAUUUACAUUUGAGUGAGUGGCGAACUGGUGAGUAACACGUGGGAAACCUGCCCAGAAGCGGGGGAUAACACCUGGAAACAGAUGCUAAUACCGCAUAACAACUUGGACCGCAUGGUCCGAGUUUGAAAGAUGGCUUCGGCUAUCACUUUUGGAUGGUCCCGCGGCGUAUUAGCUAGAUGGUGGGGUAACGGCUCACCAUGGCAAUGAUACGUAGCCGACCUGAGAGGGUAAUCGGCCACAUUGGGACUGAGACACGGCCCAAACUCCUACGGGAGGCAGCAGUAGGGAAUCUUCCACAAUGGACGAAAGUCUGAUGGAGCAACGCCGCGUGAGUGAAGAAGGGUUUCGGCUCGUAAAACUCUGUUGUUAAAGAAGAACAUAUCUGAGAGUAACUGUUCAGGUAUUGACGGUAUUUAACCAGAAAGCCACGGCUAACUACGUGCCAGCAGCCGCGGUAAUACGUAGGUGGCAAGCGUUGUCCGGAUUUAUUGGGCGUAAAGCGAGCGCAGGCGGUUUUUUAAGUCUGAUGUGAAAGCCUUCGGCUCAACCGAAGAAGUGCAUCGGAAACUGGGAAACUUGAGUGCAGAAGAGGACAGUGGAACUCCAUGUGUAGCGGUGAAAUGCGUAGAUAUAUGGAAGAACACCAGUGGCGAAGGCGGCUGUCUGGUCUGUAACUGACGCUGAGGCUCGAAAGUAUGGGUAGCAAACAGGAUUAGAUACCCUGGUAGUCCAUACCGUAAACGAUGAAUGCUAAGUGUUGGAGGGUUUCCGCCCUUCAGUGCUGCAGCUAACGCAUUAAGCAUUCCGCCUGGGGAGUACGGCCGCAAGGCUGAAACUCAAAGGAAUUGACGGGGGCCCGCACAAGCGGUGGAGCAUGUGGUUUAAUUCGAAGCUACGCGAAGAACCUUACCAGGUCUUGACAUACUAUGCAAAUCUAAGAGAUUAGACGUUCCCUUCGGGGACAUGGAUACAGGUGGUGCAUGGUUGUCGUCAGCUCGUGUCGUGAGAUGUUGGGUUAAGUCCCGCAACGAGCGCAACCCUUAUUAUCAGUUGCCAGCAUUAAGUUGGGCACUCUGGUGAGACUGCCGGUGACAAACCGGAGGAAGGUGGGGAUGACGUCAAAUCAUCAUGCCCCUUAUGACCUGGGCUACACACGUGCUACAAUGGAUGGUACAACGAGUUGCGAACUCGCGAGAGUAAGCUAAUCUCUUAAAGCCAUUCUCAGUUCGGAUUGUAGGCUGCAACUCGCCUACAUGAAGUCGGAAUCGCUAGUAAUCGCGGAUCAGCAUGCCGCGGUGAAUACGUUCCCGGGCCUUGUACACACCGCCCGUCACACCAUGAGAGUUUGUAACACCCAAAGUCGGUGGGGUAACCUUUUAGGAACCAGCCGC